GGAGGAAAAGAAACCAACAGGGAUUCCCCUAGUAACGGCGAGUGAAGCGGGAACAGCUCAAAUUUGAAAUCUGGCCUUCGGGUCCGAGUUGUAAUUUGCAGAGGAUGCUUUUGGUGCGGUGCCUUCCGAGUUCCCUGGAACGGGACGCCUUAGAGGGUGAGAGCCCCGUACGGUUGGCCACCAAGCCUGUGUAAAGCUCCUUCGACGAGUCGAGUAGUUUGGGAAUGCUGCUCAAAAUGGGAGGUAUAUUUCUUCUAAAGCUAAAUACUGGCCAGAGACCGAUAGCGCACAAGUAGAGUGAUCGAAAGAUGAAAAGCACUUUGAAAAGAGGGUUAAAUAGCACGUGAAAUUGUUGAAAGGGAAGGGUUUAUGACCAGACCUUUUCUAGGGGGAUCAUCCGGUGUUCUCACCGGUGCACUUCCCCUAGUUGAGGCCAGCAUCGGUUUCUGUAGGGGGAUAAAAGCUUCGGGAAUGUGGCUCCUUCGGGAGUGUUAUAGCCCGUUGCAUAAUACCCUUACGGGGACCGAGGUCCGCGCUUCGGCUAGGAUGCUGGCGUAAUGGUUAUUAACCACCCGUCUUGAAACACGGACCAAGGAGUCGAACAUUUGUGCGAGUGUUUGGGUGUUAAACCCUCACGCGUAAUGAAAGUGAACGGAGGUGAGAGCCCUCACGGGUGCAUCAUCGACCGAUCCUGAUGUCUUCGGAUGGAUUUGAGUAAGAGCAUAACUGUUCGGACCCGAAAGAUGGUGAACUAUGCGUGGAUAGGGUGAAGCCAGAGGAAACUCUGGUGGAGGCUCGCAGCGGUUCUGACGUGCAAAUCGAUCGUCAAAUCUGCGCAUGGGGGCGAAAGACUAAUCGAACCAUCUAGUAGU
This 872-nucleotide ribosomal RNA is filed under the name Apiospora hyphopodii. RNAcentral describes it as "eukaryotic LSU rRNA". It matches the Rfam family "Eukaryotic large subunit ribosomal RNA", at positions 52 to 951 of the family's 3401-position model. The record is from RNAcentral. Lineage: Eukaryota; Fungi; Ascomycota; Sordariomycetes; Amphisphaeriales; Apiosporaceae.